CCAGGCAAAGCGGCGCACCUCUCCAGUCUCCGAUGUCCCUGUCUUCCCCUGCUUUUCCACUGCAGCUACAACGACCAAUCGAGCAGACCACCACAACGAUGGCGCCGACCAAGAUGCGGGCCAUGCAUUACGAUGCCUACGGCAAAGGCGCCGCCGACCUCAAGGAGGUGUCCAAAACCAAGGAGUGCUUUGUGGAUCUGAAACGAAGCACAAGGCUUUUUGUAGUUAAGCCGCAGCUGCAGCGUCAAAAGAACCUCCAAGUUUCAGGCUCUGUCAAUGGCACAUUUGGCUCGUUCAGCAGGUUCUGCAGGAGGCGAUGAGCAUCCUGAUCAUGAGGCGAUGAGGAUGUUGAUCAGGAGGAUCACAUUGCGAUGAGGAUCUCGAUCAGGAAGAUCACGUUCUGUUGCUGAUCUGAAUUUUGGCUAGAGACAUAAUAGUAGUCUGCAAUGUCUAUGUAGUAAGAUGAAGAUGUUGAUAUGUUUGUUCAGAGAGUGCAAAGCUCCAGGGACCAUUGCAGCUGUUUAGGUAAUUUUCAAACUGGUUUCACAUAUUUUCCUUCUUAGAUAGGACCUUCUACUCAAAAUCAUGAAUACAUGCUUCUCUUCUGUACCUGUAUAAAGCAACUGGCAGAGGGUUCGUUGUUCGCUUUUGUUUCACAUAUGUUCUGCUGACAUCAUCUAUGUGGUUCGUGGUUAUCACAUGGCUGUUUGCUCUAUUCCUCUUCAACCCAUCAGGACUUGCAGUUAACUAGCCUAGUGGGCCGGAUAUGGGAAAUCAUCUUAUCCUUCCGUUUCUUCAUGGUUCUGUAUGGUAUCAUGUACCAUCUGAAUAUCUCCAAUGGAAACAAAAGUAUAUCGGUCCAUGGGAGGAGAUGAAGAACACACUUCUAUUUAGCUUUCACCGUCCGCCUUUCGUUGGCCUGAAUAUUUUAGUGGUUUGAUAGUGGAAAUCUCGCAGGUCAAGGAUGUGAACAACAAGAGGGAGGAUGUGAGCCAUAUUUUCAGAACUUGAAGCUAAAUGCAUUUUCUUCUGGCAAAUUCUUACCGGAGGCACAGGAGCCGCAGCAGUAGCAGGAGGAGACAGCGGAGCAGGUCGAGGAGGAGCAGCGGCCCUGCACCGAUGAGCUGCCGAGG
This is a long non-coding RNA of Lolium rigidum, 1133 nucleotides long. RefSeq lists it as uncharacterized. NCBI's taxonomy places the organism in Eukaryota, Viridiplantae, Streptophyta, Magnoliopsida, Poales, Poaceae. The record is from RefSeq and is a predicted model, not a curated record. The transcript has 6 exons.